Molecule: non-coding RNA, 234 nt
Organism: Vicia faba (fava bean)
Lineage: Eukaryota; Viridiplantae; Streptophyta; Magnoliopsida; Fabales; Fabaceae
Source: the annotation of a GenBank genome assembly
AUGAUAUAUUCAAUUGUGCAGUACUCUAAUUUAAUUAGAGCAUUUGAUGAAACACAUAUUCAAGAUUUGUUGAUUACCGUCGAAGAUAAAAAUGCAUGGAAUGAAUAUGUCAAGAUAUGUGUGAAAGAUAGAGCAAGUGGAGUUCAAGUAGAACAUGCAUAUGAUGUGGACAAUGUCAUGAGCAAAGAAGCAAGUGUAGAUGAAGAAUGUUCAACUUUUUAUAUUGAUUUAUAG